UACGUAGGGUGCAAGCGUUAAUCGGAAUACUGGCGUAAAGCGUGCGCAGGCGGUUAUGUAAGACAGGUGUGAAAUCCCCGGGCUUAACCUGGAACUGGCAUUGUGACUGCAUAGCUAGAGUACGGUAGAGGGGAUGGAAUUCCGCGUGUAGCAGUGAAAUGCGUAGAUAUGCGGAGGAACACCGAUGGCGAAGGCAAUCCCCUGGACCUGUACUGACGCUCAUGCACGAAAGCGUGGGGAGCAAACGAG
RNAcentral lists this ribosomal RNA (249 nucleotides) under uncultured bacterium. Its description in RNAcentral is "partial 16S ribosomal RNA". It matches the Rfam family "Bacterial small subunit ribosomal RNA", at positions 524 to 776 of the family's 1533-position model. The record is from RNAcentral.